AUACGGAAGGUCCGGGCGUUAUCCGGAUUUAUUGGGUUUAAAGGGAGCGCAGGCGGAGAUGCAAGCGUGACGUCAAAUUUCGGGGCUCAACCCCGUCUCGCGUCGCGAACUGCGUCCCUUGGUUGCGGGAAGGGGAGGCGGAACUCGUGGUGUAGCGGUGAAAUGCAUAGAUAUCACGAAGAACUCCGAUCGCGAAGGCAGCCUUCCGGCCCGUCAACGACGCUCAUGCUCGAAGGUGCGGGUAUCAAACAGGAUUAGAUACCCUGGUAGUCCGCACAGUAAACGAUGGACACCCACGGUUUGGCCUGUAUGGCUGAGCCGCCAAGCGAAAGCGUUAAGUGUCCCACCUGGGGAGUACGCCGGCAACGGUGAAACUCAAAUGAAUUGACGGGG
RNAcentral lists this ribosomal RNA (393 nucleotides) under uncultured bacterium. RNAcentral describes it as "partial 16S ribosomal RNA". It matches the Rfam family "Bacterial small subunit ribosomal RNA", at positions 523 to 918 of the family's 1533-position model. The record is from RNAcentral.